Molecule: ribosomal RNA, 430 nt
Filed under: uncultured bacterium
Lineage: Bacteria
Description: bacterial SSU rRNA
Rfam family: Bacterial small subunit ribosomal RNA
Source: RNAcentral
AUUGAACGCUGGCGGCAGGCCUAACACAUGCAAGUCGAAUGGUAACAGGAAACAGCUUGCUGUCUCGCUGACGAGUGGCGGACGGGGUGAGUAAUGUCUGGGAAACUGCCUGAUGGAGGGGGAUAACUACUGGAAACGGUAGCUAAUACCGCAUAACGUCGCAAGACCAAAGAGGGGGACCUUCGGGCCUCUUGCCAUCAGAUGUGCCCAGAUGGGAUUAGCUAGUAGGUGGGGUAACGGCUCACCUAGGCGACGAUCCCUAGCUGGUCUGAGAGGAUGACCAGCCACACUGGAACUGAGACACGGUCCAGACUCCUACGGGAGGCAGCAGUGGGGAAUAUUGCACAAUGGGCGCAAGCCUGAUGCAGCCAUGCCGCGUGUAUGAAGAAGGCCUCGGUUGUAAGUACUUCUAGCGGGGAGGAAGGGAGGU